This is a long non-coding RNA of Bos taurus (domestic cattle), 1354 nucleotides long. The record is from Ensembl. NCBI's taxonomy places the organism in Eukaryota, Metazoa, Chordata, Mammalia, Artiodactyla, Bovidae.
CAUUAUAGGUUAUUAAAGGAUAUUGGAUAUACUUCCCUGUGCUAUACAGCAGGUCGUCAUUGAUUAUUUUGUGUGUAUCUGUUUAGUGUAUAUUUGUUAAUCCCACACUCCUAACUUACCCUUCCCAGACUCCUCACUUCUUUAAAUUGCAAGCUCUUCAAAUAGAGCUUAGCAGACCUUGGGGAGUGGAGCAAAGUUCAGCUGAGGACAGUUCAGAAGGGUUGAGAUACUUCUGCCUAGCCCACUUCCCAAAGAUCUCAACUGAAUUCUGCCGGCAGCCAGGUCAGGUCCAGAAUCAGCAGUCCUGGGCAAUGUGCCCUGCAGGGCUCUGAGGUCUGAGACCAAGUCUCUGGUUUAACAGAGGAGAGCUGAGGGUUUUGACAGUGUUAGGUCAUCCCGGCCCAUCUACAUUUCUCUCGUUCAGUUUCUCCUCGCAAACCUGAAUUCAUUCUAGCACGUGGAACUAUUCUAGCAAGAAUCACCAUUUAGUUAAUAAAUGUGGGGCGUAGGAGUGAAUCCCCACGGGUCAGGACCCAGAAGCCCUGUCCACGUGGGAGCCACGCUUGGAGUUUCAGCUGGCAGUUCCCCGACCAGGGAUGGAAUCCGCGCCCCUGCAGUGGAAAUGCAGUGUCCUAACCACUGGGCCGCCAGGGAAGUCCCAGUGAUCACUUUAAUGGACUUUGAAGAACAAGUCUGUUGGCUGGAUGCUUCUGUGUUUAGACUCUUGGAUAAAAGAAGCCUUACUACGGAAUCGCUGUUGGGGACGUCUGAGUCCUAGGAAGCCAUUCAGCCCUGCUGACUGGUUCACGCCAGGAAGAGCUCUGUCUGCAGGGUCCUCACCCACACUGGGCCAGAGACAGCAGAGCCAGGCCCUGGGCCAUGGAGACCACCCCGCAGAGAAGAAGCUUCUAGAAGCUGUUAACCGAGUCAAGGACACCACCAGCUACAGGGGAGCUGUGCCCUGGGAUGCCAGCUUGCUGCCAAAUUUGGGGGUCCUCCCAAGGCUGAGAGUCACAUAGAAGUCAGGUUAACUCUCCAGAAUCAAAGGCCAUCAGAGCAGACAGCUAUAAACAACCUGCUUCUGGGAAGUCACAGUCCUGGUGGACUACGCAGAGCGUCAGAGAUGCACCAUGGGUUGUGGCGUGGUGAGGCCCUGACUCAAUCCCAGCCUAUUGCUUCCUUUGUUUGUGAAAUGUGCUGGAUCAUCUCCAUCUUACAGGUUAUCCUGAGCAGCCAGUGUGAUCGUGUAUAUGCAAGUACUUUGUAAAUAGCACUGCAUUUUUUGCCAUUUAUCCACCCCCAAGAAAUUGAGGCCGUCUAAAGGGCAAGGUCUCUGUUUCAUUCUUUUCUUUUU